CCCUUAGAUGUUCUGGGCGGCCCGCGCACUACAUUGGCACUAGCAAAGAGAUCCUAGAUUGAAUUCUUUGGGGUAUUCUUCUAAAUGGUGUCGUGACUGGGAUAAAUCCUUGUAAUUAUUGGUUUUGAACGAGGAAUUCCUUGUAAUCGCGGUUUAUCAGCUCGCGUUGAAUGCGUCCCUGCCCCUUGUACACACCGCCCGUCGCUCCUACCGAUGGAUCGUCCGGUGAAGCUCACGGAGUGACUGUUCACGCAACGGUUUACGAAGUGAAAUGGACCUCACGAUUUAGAGGAAGGAGAAGUCGUAACA
RNAcentral lists this ribosomal RNA (309 nucleotides) under uncultured eukaryote. Its description in RNAcentral is "partial 18S ribosomal RNA". It matches the Rfam family "Eukaryotic small subunit ribosomal RNA", at positions 1470 to 1796 of the family's 1831-position model. The record is from RNAcentral.